This 404-nucleotide ribosomal RNA is filed under the name uncultured bacterium. Its description in RNAcentral is "bacterial SSU rRNA". It matches the Rfam family "Bacterial small subunit ribosomal RNA", at positions 355 to 776 of the family's 1533-position model. The record is from RNAcentral.
UGGGGAAUAUUGGGCAAUGGGCGCAAGCCUGACCCAGCAACGCCGCGUGAAGGAAGAAGGCUUUCGGGUUGUAAACUUCUUUUAUUAGGGACGAUAAUGACGGUACCUAUUGAAUAAGCUCCGGCUAACUACGUGCCAGCAGCCGCGGUAAUACGUAGGGAGCAAGCGUUAUCCGGAUUUACUGGGUGUAAAGGGCGUGUAGGCGGGACUGCAAGUCAGAUGUGAAAACUAUGGGCUCAACUCAUAGCCUGCAUUUGAAACUGUAGUUCUUGAGUGCUGGAGAGGCAAAUGGAACUCCUAGUGUAGCGGUGAAAUGCGUAGAUAUUAGGAAGAACACCAGUGGCGAAGGCGAUUUGCUGGACAGUAACUGACGCUGAGGCGCGAAAGUGUGGGGAGCAAACAGG